UACGGGAGGCAGCAGUGGGGAAUAUUGCACAAUGGGCGCAAGCCUGAUGCAGCCAUGCCGCGUGUAUGAAGAAGGCCUUCGGGUUGUAAAGUACUUUCAGCGAGGAGGAAGGCAUUAAGGUUAAUAACCUUAGUGAUUGACGUUACUCGCAGAAGAAGCACCGGCUAACUCCGUGCCAGCAGCCGCGGUAAUACGGAGGGUGCAAGCGUUAAUCGGAAUUACUGGGCGUAAAGCGCACGCAGGCGGUCUGUCAAGUCGGAUGUGAAAUCCCCGGGCUCAACCUGGGAACUGCAUCCGAAACUGGCAGGCUAGAGUCUUGUAGAGGGGGUAGAAUUCCAGGUGUAGCGGUGAAAUGCGUAGAGAUCUGGAGGAAUACCGGUGGCGAAGGCGGGCCCCUGGGACAAAGCUGACGCUCAGGGUGCGAAAGCGUGGGGAGCAAACGAGGAUUAGGAUAACC
This 457-nucleotide ribosomal RNA is filed under the name uncultured bacterium. RNAcentral's name for it is "bacterial SSU rRNA". It matches the Rfam family "Bacterial small subunit ribosomal RNA", at positions 340 to 787 of the family's 1533-position model. The record is from RNAcentral.